Ceratotherium simum simum (southern white rhinoceros) is the source of this 710-nucleotide non-coding RNA. NCBI's taxonomy places the organism in Eukaryota, Metazoa, Chordata, Mammalia, Perissodactyla, Rhinocerotidae. The record is from RefSeq and is a predicted model, not a curated record.
UGUGGUCUUAAUUUGCAUUUCCCUGAUUUGAGGGAAUUUUUGAACAGAAGUAAAGGUAACUAAUGGAUCUUAGAAAUUAUCUAGCAGUCCUAUUUCUCAUUUUAUAAAAUUAGGACACUGAGGCCCAAAGAGCUCAAUCGGCUUUCUAGUGGCAGAAUUAGAACUAAAUCAUACAUCACUGAGUUCCUAGUUCAGUGCUCUUUCUACUCCACCAAGCUGCCAGCAUAUACAAUGAUUACCUCUUUAACAAUUAUCCACUGAUCAGAGUUUUCAAAUCUUCGUUUUUUAAUCAGAGUCAGCCUUUAAUGCAAUAGCUAUAUAUUAGUCUACCAAAGGAGGAAUUAUGCACAACUUGUCUUGCCAAAGAACAUUCUUGUCGUCCCCCUCCCCCCAAUAAACAAACAAAACCUUCCCCAAAGGCAUCCACACUUAUAUGGCAGAGAAGAAGAUGAAUAUGCUUACAAGAACAUAUAGGAGACACAAACUUUUCAAAGAAAGUAGCAUUCAGAUGCACCAGCUAUCCUGCUGCUUCUUAAUUAUGAGUGACGAAUGUCAUUUCAUAUAUAGGCCAUCACGUGUAUACUAAAUCCUGGCCCCGAUCACGUGCAAUAGCAUACGUAACACACUGAAAGUGCAUGCAAUGAAGAUGAUGCAAAGACAGAAAAUGGCUAUGUUUCACAAAUGACACUGGCAAGACCAGCAGUAACUUG